Molecule: long non-coding RNA, 841 nt
Organism: Talpa occidentalis (Iberian mole)
Lineage: Eukaryota; Metazoa; Chordata; Mammalia; Eulipotyphla; Talpidae
Exons: 4
Source: RefSeq, a predicted model, not a curated record
CUAAGUCAAGCACGGACAUUUCAUUCAAUUUCCUUUUCUGAGGUCAGGAAUCUGAGGUGAAUGGAGUUAUGAGUGAGAGUUUCCAAAAGGAGCUAUUGACAGAAAAAGAUAUUUCAGAAGUACUCAUAGAGGUCUCCUGAUUUUUUUAUUGAAUAAUAAACCACUCCAUGGUGAAAUUCUGAGAGACUGGGCAAAGAUAUAGCUGAGAAGUGAAAAACAACCAAUUCAAGAGUUUUUGCAGAGCUGGGAGAUAUUCAAACUCCGGCUCAUGAAAGCAGAGAUUCACCACUGGACAUUGAAAACAUUCUGCAGAUGGAAGACAGCUCAGCAUAAAAAGGCUCAACUAGGACAAUGCAUGUUCCCAGCAAGGGAGUAUGUGGCUCUCCUAUAAACUACACCCGCAAUAUGGGGAAGAAUCAGCAACUGAAAAGAAAUUGUCCUGUUGACCACAGAUGAAGCCAUCCAAGUGGUUCUUCCUUAUAAGAGGUUCGAGUUGAAUCUCCACGCUCAAACCGGGGCUCUGGAAUCUUCCUUGACUGUUGCUCAUUUGCAUCCCUUCAACCAACAAAACAACAAGCCUGUAGCCACCGUCACAGUAUCAGUACGAGACUGUCAUCUGCUGCUGAGGUUUCCGAGGCCGCAGGGCAGAUGGCCCCCCACGCCGCUGCACUGACCCCACCUCCAGGACAGAAGCAAUGCUCCCACUCAUAGUCACUGCUUUUUGCAGUGUAUUCUAGAUGUCCUUCCCACUUAGCUUCUACCUCUUCUGGCCCUGGCGGUUUGCCUGGUGCCAUAACCAAGUCCGCAUGCUGGUGCACCCUGGUUUCCUGGCCACUGUGCA